UUGCUGCAGUUAAAAAGCUCGUAGUUGAACGUUCGGGUUCCGCGGGACGGGGCCGCCCCGCGAGGGACGGCGCCGCCCCGGGGCUCGUGAUAUCUCAUCUCGCCGCCCGUCGCGAGGCGGACGGAGGGAUGGAUGAGGUUACCUGGAAAAAUCGGGGCGAUCUAGGCGGGCGAACCUCGCCAACGAACGAUCGGACAUGGGAUAACGGAAGAGGGCGUCGGCUCGACUUCGUCGGUUCCUCGGGCCGAGGCACGUACGGUGAAUAGGGACGGUCGGGGCCGCCCGUACCGGGUCGUGAGAGGUGAAAUUCUAGGAUCGACCCGAGACGAACCGCCGCGAAAGCAUUCGGCAAGGACGCUUUCAUUAAUCAAGAACGAAAGUCGGGGGAUCGAAGACGAUCAGAUACCGUCGUAGUCCCGACCGUAAACGAUGCCGACCGAGGGCCCGGAGGAGUUACGUACGACCCUCCGGGCCCUCCCGCGAGAAAUCAGGAGUAUUC
This 499-nucleotide ribosomal RNA is filed under the name uncultured eukaryote. RNAcentral's name for it is "bacterial SSU rRNA". It matches the Rfam family "Eukaryotic small subunit ribosomal RNA", at positions 610 to 1108 of the family's 1831-position model. The record is from RNAcentral.